GAUGAACGCUGGCGGCGUGCCUAAUACAUGCAAGUCGAGCGAACGGACGAGAAGCUUGCUUCUCUGAUGUUAGCGGCGGACGGGUGAGUAACACGUGGAUAACCUACCUAUAAGACUGGGAUAACUUCGGGAAACCGGAUCUAAUACCGGAUAAUAUUUUGAACCGCAUGGUUCAAAAGUGAAAGACGGUCUUGCUGUCACUUAUAGAUGGAUCCGCGCUGCAUUAGCUAGUUGGUAAGGUAACGGCUUACCAAGGCAACGAUGCAUAGCCGACCGGAGAGGGUGAUAGGACACCCGGGAACUGAGACACGGUCCAGACUACUACGGGAGGCAGCAGUAGGGAAUCUGCCGCAAUGGGCGAAAGCCUGACGGAGCAACGCCGCGUGAGUGAUGAAGGUCUUCGGAUCGUAAAACUCUGUUAUUAGGGAAGAACAUAUGUGUAAGUAACUGUGCACAUCUUGACGGUACCUAAUCAGAAAGCCACGGCUAACUACGUG
This 497-nucleotide ribosomal RNA is filed under the name uncultured bacterium. RNAcentral's name for it is "partial 16S ribosomal RNA". It matches the Rfam family "Bacterial small subunit ribosomal RNA", at positions 28 to 507 of the family's 1533-position model. The record is from RNAcentral.